This 364-nucleotide ribosomal RNA is filed under the name uncultured bacterium. RNAcentral describes it as "bacterial SSU rRNA". It matches the Rfam family "Bacterial small subunit ribosomal RNA", at positions 28 to 418 of the family's 1533-position model. The record is from RNAcentral.
GAUGAACGCUGGCGGCGUGCCUAAUACAUGCAAGUCGAACGAAGUCUUCGGACCUAGUGGCGAACGGGUGAGUAACACGUUGGUACCUACCCCUAAGUGGGGAAUAACUGCCCGAAAGGGUGGCUAAUACCGCAUAAUCCCGCAAGGGUAAAGCAGUAAUGCGCUUAGGGAGGGGCCUGCGUCCCAUUAGCUAGUUGGUGAGGUAAUUGCUCACCAAGGCAACGAUGGGUAGCUGGAUCGAGAGGUUGACCAGCCACACUGGGACUGAGAUACGGCCCAGACUCCUACGGGAGGCAGCAGUAAGGAAUCUUCCACAAUGGACGAAAGUCUGAUGGAGCAACGCCGCGUGGGUGACGAAGGCCUU